ACUAGGACUCCCUAUGGUUGUCUCAAAGAUUAAGCCAUGCAUGUUAAGUAUAAGCAAUUUAUACAGUGAAACUGCGAAUGGCUCAUUAAAUCAGUUAUCGUUUAUUUGAUAGUUCCUUUACUACAUGGUAUAACUGUGGUAAUUCUAGAGCUAAUACAUGCUUAAAAUCUCGACCCUUUGGAAGAGAUGUAUUUAUUAGAUAAAAAAUCAAUGUCUUCGGACUCUUUGAUGAUUCAUAAUAACUUUUCGAAUCGCAUGGCCUUGUGCUGGCGAUGGUUCAUUCAAAUUUCUGCCCUAUCAGCUUUCGAUGGUAGGAUAGUGGCCUACCAUGGUUUCAACGGGUAACGGGGAAUAAGGGUUCGAUUCCGGAGAGGGAGCCUGAGAAACGGCUACCACAUCCCAGGAAGGCAGCAGGCGCGCAAAUUACCCAAUCCUAAUUCAGGGAGGUAGUGACAAUAAAUAACGAUACAGGGCCCAUUCGGGUCUUGUAAUUGGAAUGAGUACAAUGUAAAUACCUUAACGAGGAACAAUUGGAGGGCAAGUCUGGUGCCAGCAGCCGCGGUAACUCCAGCUCCAAUAGCGUAUAUUAAAGUUGUUGCAGUUAAAAAGCUCGUAGUUGAACUUUGGGCCCGGUUGGGCCGGUCCGAUUUUUUCGUGUACUGGAUUUCCAACGGGGCCUUUCCUUCUGGCUAACCUUGAGUCCUUGUGGCUCUUGGCGAACCAGGACUUUUACUUUGAAAAAAUUAGAGUGUUCAAGCAGCGUAUUGCUCGAAUAUAUUAGCAUGGAAUAUAGAAUAAGGACGUUUGGGUUCUUAUUUUUUGGUGGGGCUC
RNAcentral lists this ribosomal RNA (831 nucleotides) under Saccharomyces sp. WW-W157. Its description in RNAcentral is "SSU rRNA". It matches the Rfam family "Eukaryotic small subunit ribosomal RNA", at positions 16 to 857 of the family's 1831-position model. The record is from RNAcentral. Lineage: Eukaryota; Fungi; Ascomycota; Saccharomycetes; Saccharomycetales; Saccharomycetaceae.